GGGGAUUUAGCUCAAUGGUAGAGCGCUUGCCUAGCAAGCGCAAGGUCCUGGGUUCGGUCCCCAGCUCCG
RNAcentral lists this transfer RNA (69 nucleotides) under Rattus norvegicus (Norway rat). It matches the Rfam family "tRNA". Rfam says of the family: Transfer RNA (tRNA) molecules are approximately 80 nucleotides in length. Their secondary structure includes four short double-helical elements and three loops (D, anti-codon, and T loops). Further hydrogen bonds mediate the characteristic L-shaped molecular structure. tRNAs have two regions of fundamental functional importance: the anti-codon, which is responsible for specific mRNA codon recognition, and the 3' end, to which the tRNAs corresponding amino acid is attached (by aminoacyl-tRNA synthetases). tRNAs cope with the degeneracy of the genetic code in two manners: having more than one tRNA (with a specific anti-codon) for a particular amino acid; and 'wobble' base-pairing, i.e. permitting non-standard base-pairing at the 3rd anti-codon position. The record is from Rfam by way of RNAcentral. Lineage: Eukaryota; Metazoa; Chordata; Mammalia; Rodentia; Muridae.